GAUGAACGCUAGCGGCAGGCCUAACACAUGCAAGUCGAGGGAGAAGCCCUUUCGGGGGCAGAAACCGGCGCACGGGUGCGUAACGCGUAUGCAACCUACCUUUCACAGGGGGAUAGCCCGAAGAAAUUUGGAUUAAUACCCCAUAAUAUUAUUGGAUGGCAUCAUUUGAUAAUUAAAACUGCGGUGGUGAAAGAUGGGCAUGCGUCCUAUUAGCUAGUUGGAGUGGUAACGGCACCCCAAGGCUACGAUAGGUAGGGGUCCUGUGAGGGAGAUCCCCCACACUGGUACUGAGACAGGGACCAGACUCCUACGGGAGGCAGCAGUGAGGAAUAUUGGUCAAUGGUCGGAAGACUGAACCAGCCAUGCCGCGUGCAGGAAGAAUGCCUUAUGGGUUGUAAACUGCUUUUAUAUGGGAAGAAUAAGGCGUACGUGUACGUUGAUGACGGUACCAUAUGAAUAAGCAUCGGCUAACUCCGUG
This 478-nucleotide ribosomal RNA is filed under the name uncultured bacterium. RNAcentral describes it as "partial 16S ribosomal RNA". It matches the Rfam family "Bacterial small subunit ribosomal RNA", at positions 28 to 507 of the family's 1533-position model. The record is from RNAcentral.